GUGGUACCUGGAAUCACGGUUAGCGAGGCCUCCAUACUUUUACGUCGGUGGGCUACAGUGGCAGCAAUACAACGAUAAUUUCCAGAAUCCCUUUGGCUGACAUCAUAGAUCUGCAAUACUCCUGUUGGAUAUUUAUCUGCAAACAUUUUAAUUUUGGAUCUAAACCUAUGGACCAUCCCCUGCUGUUUAUCUACUAAAGAAUUAGGAAACAGAUGGCUAGACUCACCUUUAAAAUAUCAGCUUCACAUUCAGGCAGAACAACCUGAUUUCUCAAUAAUCAGUCAGUGCUAACGUAAACCAAGAGCCCCACAAGAAGUCAUUAAAGCUGUG
Molecule: long non-coding RNA, 330 nt
Organism: Gorilla gorilla gorilla (western lowland gorilla)
Lineage: Eukaryota; Metazoa; Chordata; Mammalia; Primates; Hominidae
Exons: 3
Source: RefSeq, a predicted model, not a curated record